Long non-coding RNA from Esox lucius (northern pike), 1012 nucleotides. NCBI's taxonomy places the organism in Eukaryota, Metazoa, Chordata, Actinopteri, Esociformes, Esocidae. The record is from Ensembl.
UCAGACUAUGGUGUUAUCCUGACCACCUGAUCAUCAGACUAAGGUGCUUUCCUCCCUUGUUGGUCAUUAAACUAUGUUGUUGUUCUACCAGCCCACCCAUAAGCUCUAGUCUACAACUAAUCAUCUUAUAUCCUCUAGUCUCUGAGUAUGUUUUUAUUUCCAUACUUUUCUUGAAAACAGUCAUAACAAGACUGCGUAAUGACAACAUUAAGGCCUAACAUCAUGUAACGGUCAUUGGCAAUUGUCUUAUUUAAUUAGAGUGCACAGUUUUAGUGUAGCUGGUAGGCAGAAACCAAACAUACAAAGUGUAGUUUGCAGGGUGAAACAUAGAACACAACAUGUAAUUUGUGUGUAGUACAAUUGUGAUACAACAAUUUUGCAUUUACUGGGCAAUGCAGUGGCUAAAGUCCAGAACACCUGAUCCAGGUGUUUUUCCAGAACACCUGGUCAGGGGAUGCAUGUUUUCCUCCAAAAUGUAUGCCCUUUUAAAACUGUGAAUUUGAAAGCUGGUUACUGGUGACUGUGUCUCUGAAUUAGAAGUCCAUUUUAUGUGGUACCUGAUUCCAAUGCUCUGGGGAUUGUUGCGCAAAUAGUGUUUGUCUUAUUAUGGAAGAGGAAGUUUACAAUGUGUGGUUUUGUCCUUUUCCUCUUUUCAGGGCCAAUACUGUCCCAUCAUCAGUGCAAUUGUUCCUUUCUUGUCUGUCACAUUACCCAGAGCUGAUUAACAUGUUUUCUGCGCUGUUAUUAGGGGAAGGGAAAAUGUGUAGGAGUGGUGGUUGUCGUGGUGGUUCGCGCGCGCGUACACAAACAUGCGAUAGGAACAUCCCAUAUCAUAUACAAAUAGUUUUUAUCGCUUUAUGUUGAAUGUGAAUAUUUUAUCUGGCACUUUUGCUGGCAAAAAUGUUGUACAUUGUGAGUCCUGCUGUAUUUUGAGAAUACAAUGUAAAACUGAAGGUACUUUAAAUAGUUUUUACUUACUUUUUCCCAACUCAAUAAAGAUGCUGUCAUUUUC